UCGUCAUCAGAAUGGUCAGAUACUUUCCAUGUUUAAAAGUGUAUUUUCUUUGUUACUUGCACAGGAAUGAACUUCCAGAUCUUAGGUCUUCUCAUACUGCUGGACAGUAAAACAUGCCUGAAGUGAUUGUGCAGAACACUUCAUAAAAUGAAAAAAAUGAGCAGGGUCCAUUCCAGCCGUAUCAGAAGAUGGUUCAAGAAACUUUACAGCAGGGUGAUCUAUAGAAAAAUGUGCCUGCACAGACUUUAUGGCCCUUAUCCUAUAAAGCUUGCUUUCUGCUGUUCUACCUGUUAUAUUAGAUUACAUAUGCGUGUGCACACACAUACAAAACCCCCUCUAGGUGUUUUGGUUUGCAGUACACUACUGGGGGUUUUUUCAGGCUUUUUGGAAGACAGCUAAGCUGCUGACCUGUUUGCUACUGUGCAGCAUAAAAUCCUCAGGCUAAUAAUAAACACACUGUUGAAAAGA
Strigops habroptila (Kakapo) is the source of this 468-nucleotide long non-coding RNA. RefSeq lists it as uncharacterized. Lineage: Eukaryota; Metazoa; Chordata; Aves; Psittaciformes; Psittacidae. The record is from RefSeq and is a predicted model, not a curated record. The transcript has 2 exons.